This is a long non-coding RNA of Armigeres subalbatus, 544 nucleotides long. RefSeq lists it as uncharacterized. The record is from RefSeq and is a predicted model, not a curated record. The transcript is spliced from 2 exons. NCBI's taxonomy places the organism in Eukaryota, Metazoa, Arthropoda, Insecta, Diptera, Culicidae.
UUGCAAAGAUAAAUGCACUAAGGGGAUUUUUCGCUUCUUCGAUUGCUUCAGUAUAAAAGAAUUAUUUUUCGCUGCUGUUUAUAUCAGUUCUAAGAUACUUCGUUGUACAGUUACAGUUACGUUUUCUACGGAACCGAAAUCAAUUGCCAAUUACAAUGCAGUCCAUUACAGUUGCUUGUCUAGCGCUUCUGUGUUUCGCUGCAGUGUUCGCGACAGCUUCCAGUGCACAAUCACCGGACAAUGUAUCUACAUUCGAAGACUUGGAUCAACUCGGAGCUGACACCAAUCCCCUCAAUCUGGCAAAGAUAGCGAUUCCCCAAUUGCGCAAUCGAUGCAAAAACAUGGGAAAUUGUGUUCAUGACAGGUUGUGUGACCAGCACUGCAAACAGUUCCGGUACAAAGACGGAGAAUGCAGUGGAAGGUCCUGUAUUUGCUGCGCCUAGUUUACUAGCUGGAGAUAAUUUGUCUGCGUUUUAUAGAUAACAAACUAGUCAUUUGUGUAACAAAACAGUUACAAAAUAAAAAUGUCUGUUUUUAUAUUAAA